AGUUUGAUCCUGGCUCAGAUUGAACGCUGGCGGCAUGCUUUACACAUGCAAGUCGAACGGCAGCGCGGGGCAACCUGGCGGCGAGUGGCGAACGGGUGAGUAAUACAUCGGAACGUACCCAGAAGUGGGGGAUAACGUAGCGAAAGUUACGCUAAUACCGCAUACGUUCUACGGAAGAAAGUGGGGGAUCGCAAGACCUCAUGCUUUUGGAGCGGCCGAUGUCUGAUUAGCUAGUUGGUGAGGUAAAGGCUCACCAAGGCGACGAUCAGUAGCUGGUCUGAGAGGACGACCAGCCACACUGGGACUGAGACACGGCCCAGACUCCUACGGGAGGCAGCAGUGGGGAAUUUUGGACAAUGGGCGCAAGCCUGAUCCAGCAAUGCCGCGUGAGUGAGGAAGGCCUUCGGGUUGUAAAGCUCUUUGUCAGGGAAGAAACGGCUGGGGCUAAUAUCUCCGGCUAAUGACGGUACCUGAAGAAUAAGCACCGGCUAACUACGUG
Molecule: ribosomal RNA, 499 nt
Filed under: uncultured Oxalobacteraceae bacterium
Lineage: Bacteria; Pseudomonadati; Pseudomonadota; Betaproteobacteria; Burkholderiales; Oxalobacteraceae
Description: bacterial SSU rRNA
Rfam family: Bacterial small subunit ribosomal RNA
Source: RNAcentral